CUAGUUGGAGGGGUAACGGCCCACCAAGGCUACGAUCAGUAGGGGUUCUGAGAGGAAGGUCCCCACAUUGGAACUGAGACACGGUCCAAACUCCUACGGGAGGCAGCAGUGAGGAAUAUUGGUCAAUGGGCGAGAGCCUGAACCAGCCAAGUAGCGUGCAGGAUGACGGCCCUAUGGGUUGUAAACUGCUUUUAUGUGGGAAUAAAGUGCGUGACGUGUCAUGCAUUGCAGGUACCACAUGAAUAAGGACCGGCUAAUUCCGUGCCAGCAGCCGCGGUAAAU
Molecule: ribosomal RNA, 282 nt
Filed under: uncultured Prevotella sp.
Lineage: Bacteria; Pseudomonadati; Bacteroidota; Bacteroidia; Bacteroidales; Prevotellaceae
Description: partial 16S ribosomal RNA
Rfam family: Bacterial small subunit ribosomal RNA
Source: RNAcentral